CCUACGGGAGGCUGCAGUGGGGAAUAUUGCACAAUGGGGGAAACCCUGAUGCAGCGACGCCGCGUGAGUGAAGAAGUAAUUCGUUAUGUAAAGCUCUAUCAGCAGGGAAGAAAAUGACGGUACGUGAGUAAGAAGCCCCGGCUAACUACGUGCCAGCAGCCGCGGUAAUACGUAGGGGGCAAGCGUUAUCCGGAUUUACUGGGUGUAAAGGGAGAGUAGACGGCAGGGCAAGUCUGGAGUGAAAGGCGGGGGCUCAACCCCCGGACUGCUCUGGAAACUGUACGGCUGGAGUGCAGGAGAGGUAAGUGGAAUUCCUAGUGUAGCGGUGAAAUGCGUAGAUAUUAGGAGGAACACCAGUGGCGAAGGCGGCUUACUGGACUGUAACUGACGUUGAGGCUCGAAAGCGUGGGGAGCAAACAGGAUUAGAUACCCUAGUAGUC
RNAcentral lists this ribosomal RNA (440 nucleotides) under uncultured bacterium. Its description in RNAcentral is "partial 16S ribosomal RNA". It matches the Rfam family "Bacterial small subunit ribosomal RNA", at positions 338 to 795 of the family's 1533-position model. The record is from RNAcentral.